RNAcentral lists this long non-coding RNA (34933 nucleotides) under Amborella trichopoda. RNAcentral describes it as "long non-coding RNA (ATRI_LNC003162)". Lineage: Eukaryota; Viridiplantae; Streptophyta; Magnoliopsida; Amborellales; Amborellaceae. The record is from RNAcentral.
AGAGAGAGAGAGAGAGAGUAUUGGACCCUUGGCCCUUAUUUUUGACUUGUAGUUUACACAGUUGAGUUGGGCCCUAUAAAUGGAUAUGUCAAGAUUUUGGUUCCUCCCAAAUCCAUUAAUGUGGAUUCUCCUGACCGCCCCACUUGCUAUUGUGGGGACGCAAUAUUCCACCUUUCUUGUUGACUCCUACAUACUUUUGGCAUUAUUGCUUGUGAGUGGUUAUUGUACUUUCACUUCACUAAAAGGUAAAUAAGCAUGCAUUUCCCAAUUAUAUUAUUUUGUUGGGCAUGCAUGGGUAAAUUCAAUAUGAAUCAAGCCCCCUUAUAUAUUUUUUAAACUUAUCUAAUGAUUUUUAGGUCUUCUCAAAAUCCCCACUCUAUAAAUCUCUAUUUUAUUUUAUUUUACUUAUUUUUAAUCUUUUUGGAUCAUCAAUUUGGACCGAUCUAAACCUAAUCCAGAUCAUCGAUCCAACGGUUCGAUACGAAGCUAUGGGUGAACGAUCUGCUUUAUUGAUCCGGUUUUUAAGACAUUGAUUUCAUCUUUGGUUGACCUGGGUAAGCCUUACCUUUAAGCAUUGUUUUUUUGAGAGAUUUAACCCUAAGAAAGAAGAAACUAUUUUAUGAGAUUCAAUUGUUUGUUUACUACUUAUUGUCCUGGAACAAAGCUUAAAGGUAAGGGCUGGAUGUUGUUCCGGGUGACAUAGUUGUUAAAAUUGUUAAAGUGUAUUUUCUAGAAAGUAUAUUAAUUUUUAUCUUAUUUAAUCAUGAGUGAUGUAGUAAGGUUCCACUUGUAAGUUUGUGUGGUAGGAAAUUGUAAAACUACUAGGUGGUUAGUAGUUAUAAUUACAAGUGCGUAGAUAUUGUAGGAAAUAUGAUUGUAAAUAUGUUUAUUUAAAUAGAGGUGUAUGGUGAUAAAAUUUGGUCACAUGUAUUAAGGUUAAUCUUAGGUGUCAAGAUUAUAAUGCCUUUGUAUACCCCUGGGUCACAUGUGUUAAGGUUAAUCUUGUGUAUUAAGAUUAUAAUACCUGUGUACCUCAUGUUUUUCUUCAGUGAAGUUUUACUUCUACUUCAUCUUGAUUCUUCUUCUUUCUAUUUGCUUGUGAGUCUUGGGAGAAUGUGGCAUUGUCACACUAAUUGAUAAGUGGAUUGUUCUGGCAUCCAUCUUUUUCUAUAUAGUAUCCGAGCUGCAAGGGUGGUAGUUAUGUGGUAUUGAUUCCCUUGGUGAAGAAGAUUGUUGGAAUGUAUUUUUUAUCAGCAUAGGGCCCCCUCUCAAUAAAGGCCUAGCACCCUAAAAUAGACCCUAUAACUAGAGCUACAUUUUCAAUGUCUCAAUUUUCUAUGGGACCACUACCAUUGGAACCGGCACAGUUGAAAACCCAUAGGGGUCAAAUUUCAGCUCGAACGGACACUCUAAGAAGAAGUUAUAGGCAAAAGAGUGAAACAGGAGGGGCCGCAUGCUACUCCUGUGCGGCCACCCUGCAACACCACGCCAUGGAAGGGACAGUUACGACCAGUGCAUUUCGAUACUCAUAUCUCACCUAUCCCAAUUUAGAUCGUGCUCAAAUUUGGUUAGCAUGUAUGUCUAGUCAAGAUGAGCGAUUCAAUAUGUUGCACGCCCCGUAACGACAACCGAAUGCAAAGAAAAGCUACAGAGAAGUUGUUGAUCCAUGAAGAAAGUGCAGAAAAUUCAGCAGCGUCGUGCCUCUCUCAAGUGAUCGGAUCACGCUGCUAGCGAGCCAGAUCGAUGCGAGUCCAAUUCUAUUGCGGGUGUAAGGUCACUGACGCGUACAUGAUGAACUGUCGGAUUCUGCACAUGAAACUGACGAAGUGAUUGCAAAUUUCGUGGCCGAAAUUCUAGAUUCGGCCGUAAUUCCAAAGUUAUGAAAUCUUCGUACGGGCAUUAAAUCGAGCUGUAUUUGUUGCCCCGCGGUAUUAACGGCAUGCUCAAUGUAGUUCAACGAAGAAAUCUUCGAAAAACAUUAAGGAACUAGUACACUAUCGAUCCGAAGUUUCAAGAUCCACUCAAAUUUUAAGUCACAUGAUCGUGUACUAGAAACACAAUUCGUGGCUUGAAGUUUGUAUGAAAUUGAUUGCCAUGUCGAGCCCUACAAGAAAACAAUCAUCUUACGAUCAACCGGGCUUCAGAACGACCCCGGAUCAUCCAUGCAAGAUCACGCAAGUUCUAGGGCAACAUAUGGACUGUUCUGGAGUUCUACAGAUUGUUAGGAAGGGGCAAAUCUAUCAUUUUGCACCCUUUUAAUUUCUUUGAAUUCAAUUUAAUCUUAAUUUCCAGCAAUUAGGGUUGCAAAUUCUAUACAUAUGUACCAGCAUUGUACGCAGAAAAGACACAUACACAGGAUCCAACUCCUUGCAAAAGAGAGUUUUUACUGAAUAUAGUUUAUCUUUCUUCCCACUGUUAUAUCACGUUUGAGAGAGAGAGUGAGGUAAGAGAAACUUUUGACCAGUACCUAUAGGUUCGAGGUAAACAUUCUCUCUCUUUUUUUCAUUUCUUCUCUCUCUCAUCUUUUCUCUCUUCUUCUCUUUCUUCUUAUUCUUACCCAUCUGAGCUCUCCUCAAAGACCAUGCAUGGUAGUGGUAGUGUCGUGCAUGCCUCUCUAGUAGCCUCACAAGUCGCGCAUGGCGAUGGCAGUUCCAUGUGCGCAUCUCUUUCUCCCUCUGUUCUAUCUCUUUCGUGAGGCCUACAGACGAUGCUGCUCAUCACCGUCUGCAGAUGUAUCCUAAGCGCCUCAGCGAAGGACGCGGGCUUCACCUUGUCGUGUGACCGUUGCAGACAGCAAUACCCAUCGCCAUCCACAAAGGGUCGAGGCAAUACUCGUUGUCGUGCACUGACUUCUUUCUCGCUUCACUAUGCCCAUUGUUGUUCGCCCUACGAGAAGUAAUCGCCACGAGACCUAUGAAAAGUUAUUGACGUGCACCUCAUUAGGAGCCAUCACUGUUCGCUAGGGACAUGUCGCCUCCUUGUGUUGCCAAGGGCGAUGCCCAUUGCCGUUUGGAUUCUUCCUCCCUCUCUUGUCUCUCUCUCUCUUCUCUUCAUCCUUUUCUCUUCUAACUUGACUGAGCGUAGAUCUAACUUAGCACCGCCAUCUUGGUCUCAGUUUUGAGUAGUAUUGCCGUCGUGCUGGUCUUGAGGACCAUGCCCGUCUUUGCUACCAUUUCGAGUCGGUAAUUGUCUAAUGCUAGCUUUGCCUCUCCGUCGAUUUUUUCUUCUCUUUUCUAUCUUUAUCUAAAACGUUACGUUUCAUCAUGCUCUCACAUGAACGUACGUUACCCUAAGACAAGGGUGAAUCUUCUUGACCCACUUGUCUUACAAAUUAUCGCCAUGCGUUUCGUUAGGAGCCAUCACUGUUCGCUAAGGACAUGUCACCUCCUUGUGCUGCCAACGGCGAUGCCCAUUGCCGUCUGGAUUCUUUCUCCCUCUACUGACUCUCUCUCACUUCUCUUCAUCCGUUUCUCUUCUAACUUGACUGAGGGUAGAUCUAGCUUAACACCGCCAUCUUGGUCUCGGUUUUGAGUAGUAUUGCCGUCUUGCUGGUCUUGAGGACCGUGUCCGUCUUGCUACCACUCCGAGUCGAUACUUGUCCGGAUGUGAUGCUAGCUUUGCCUUUCGGUCGAGUUCUUCUUCUCCUUUCUAUCUUUAUCAAAACUUUACGUUUCAUCAUGCUCUCACAUGAACGUACGUUGCCCUAAGACAAGGGUGGGUCUUCUUGACCCACUUGUCUUACAAAUUAACCAUUGAAGGGUUGUGCAGAAAACAAGAGGAUUGCAGGUUAAGGGAGGCGAUUCCGAACCAGCUAAAGCAACUGAGGGGCUUUCUUCAUGAUCUAAGAGGGUGCCCAUGCGAGCUAGCCUGAGUAAGUACCAAACCCACUUAAAAUUCCUCUCUCAUCGGUUGGUAUACUUACCCUUGCUCUCUAGCAAGGUUCUGAGAGAGCAAUCUCAUACCCCGGGUUCACCAGAAACCUGAGGUACACUCCGUCAAAUCAUCUAGAUCUGGUAGGUGAGAUCGAGACAUCUAACCAGCUUGACGACUCCACUGGGGACUUAUUAUCCCUUAGUCGAUUCGCUCUUGUUUAACCAGUAUCCUCUUUUACUUUUUGCACUUAUUUCUAUGGCAUAUGGGUUGUUCAACCCGUUUAUAUGGGUCGAGGAUUUCCUUAUCCCCACACUCGUGGCUGUUCCAAGGAAGCGAGCUGCUCAAGCCUCCUUCCCCGUCCUCCUCCUGAGUCGGGACUCAUGGUCCGACUCCUUGGUUCUCACCUGGAUCGGUGCAAGAGGCGACUGAAAGGUCCCUGCCUCCUCUCUUUCUCACCUUGGUGGACUCUCCACCAAGGUCCCUUGCAUGGGUAGCACACCUGCUGCCACGCCCUGCUACUGGCAAGUCUACUGCUAGUCAUAUUGCUGAGGCACGCCAAAAGGUUGCCCCCAUCACUCUCAUGAAAGGCAAGCAAGUUGUCGUUGCUCUUGAGGUUUGCAGAAAGGCAACCCCUUAUGCCUCUCCAUCACCCCGAACCUUCACACCUAGAGAGUCGGCACAUAGAGGCGAAGGUCCUAAGAUCUCCACCCCUUGCACACACCCAAGGGCUCAUGGUUCAUCCACUCGAGCCACACCUCGGGGCAACCCUCACGUUGGCUUGAGCUCGCAUCCAAGGCUAGGCCUUCUCGGGCCAAACCUUGCAUGCUCCAUGCAUUUGCUUUCCACAACCCAGGGCAAUGCUAGCUCUACGCCACCUCGAGCACAUGAGGGACCACUCUGUCCUCCCUCCUAGCACACACAGCUUCACCCUGUGAGAGGUGGUCUUCUGCGUCACCCCUCAGACACAAGCUCGUGGGUCUUGACCUCCUCAGGUAGAGCUCAUUGAUCAAGCCCGGGUCAACCCCCAAGUCACCCAGACGGCUAACUCUAAAGGUGCACACGCACUGUCUUGACAUGUUCUUUCCGGACCUCAACUCAGACGUAGUCGUGAGCCAGCUCCUUCUUCUGUCGCUCUCUCCACACCAGGCAAACACCUCGAACCCUAGUACUCGAAGAUCUUCCCUAAGAGUACCAUCUUGAGCCAGCCUCAGGUCUGCCAUGCGCAUGGGCCCCAUAGAGGAACUCGGGCUAACGACCUAAUGUCAGACAUAGGUCUCCAGCCUCCAAGGAAAAAACCCAUGCUGCCUUCUGUCCUCGGACCCCACUCCCUGUUCCAGCUCAUAGACACGGCCCUUGCAUGUUCCAAGAAGGCGGGCAGUCCAGGUCUCAAGCUCGGUUCUGAGUGAAGUCCACAGUCGGCUUAAGGUUAAACAGGAAAGAGGUCUUCAGAUCCUGAUCAAAGAAGCCUCCAAGGCAGUCGAGGCCACCACCUUUGAUGACCUCUUGCCUUGUAACCCCUUCUUCCCUCUCCAAACUCCAGAGCCUGGCCGAGUCUAAGAGAAUUGCUGAGUUGCCACUAUUAAGAAGCCACGGUCCCAAGACCGUCAAGAACCAAUCCUCACAAGAUCGACAUACAAGGCUCAAGUCCAGUCGAGGCAGGCUAAACCCCUUAAGACUGACUUGCUACGCACCACUUGCCGAUCUUGGCAGUCCGCUAUCCCGUUAGGUUUUGACCCUCCAGAAGAGACAGUCAGUGUUAUGGUGAUCAAGGACCCGGACAACUCUCAGGAGGAGCGGAUGAACAAGUUCGAGGAAAUGAUGCAAGCUAUCCUUAGAAAGAUGGAACACUUAGAGGCCUCCAGGUCCUCUUCUUCGACCGAUUCCCCUCCUGGUGAGGACACAGUUCCAAGACAAACUCCUCCAUCAACCUCCCAAGACAGUUCUGCCUCCCGCGGGGUCUCCCAAACCAACAUAGAUGCUAUGGUGGCCCAUAGCCUCAAGAACAAGGUCUUAGGCAUACAGGAGAUGCCGCUCUAUUAAAAGUCAUACCCUUUGUACAUAGACCAAGUACCCUUCCCUCCGAACUAUCAAAAGGGGAAGCUCCCCUUGUUCAACGGUACUACGUGUUCGCACCAGCAUAUUGCUCACUUCCAGGCAGCCUGUCGAGAGACGGCAGCUGACGGACGACUCCUCCUCCAUUAGUUUGUCAAAACUCUUGAAGGGCCAGCCUUCCAGUGGUAUGCUCGGCUGCCUCCCAACUCAGUACACACAUGGCAAGAGAUGGAGUAGUUGUUCUACGAACGCUUCUACGAAGUUCAUCACUCGCUGGAGAGACUUAGAAACCUUCCAUGCCAGACCCAUGAACGAGAAGGACGCGGUCCAAACCUACAUACGGAACAUGCUUCUCGAGAUCGCUCUACAUGUCGAGGCAUCCAAUCCACCCUCCAUGUCAAAGCUCAUCUCCAAAGCAGUUCGUAUAGAGAGAUUAUUCAAGCAUCACGACAACCCUCGUCAGCAACUUGCCAGCUUUAAUGGUCACUCCAACAGUCGGGGCUGCUAAAAGGAAGUAAUCAGCGCGACCGUCACCAUGCCCGACACCAAAGGCGCGGUUCCUCAAAACCUGGACCUUUCCAAGGUACAUGUGUCUCCGGUUGGAUGCAAGCAGCAGUCCUACAAUCGCAUCCCGCCUCCUAAAAAUUCUAGGCAAAACAAGUACUGGGUCCAGCACCAAAAUAAGGUUUACCCCUUCCACACAGAGUGGACACCUACACUACUUCGACUACUACUAAAACAGAACAUGAUACAGUUGCCAGAGGCCAAUACUGCGGAGUCGGCUGGGCAGGAGGCAAAUGAGAAGUACUGUGCCUAUCACAGGAGGGUAUGACACCCUACUUAUGACUAUUAUAAGCUCAAUGACACGAUCGAAGCCCUUAUCAACAAGGGUCAGAUAAAGCUCGAAGAGUUGAAAAGAGCAUUCGGGGCAACUGAGGUUUCCCACAUAGUCACGAUCCAAGAGGACGAUGGGGCACCUGCUAUCCUUCGUGCAUUUUUCUCCAUAAUGCUCGAAGAAGGGCUCGUCACUCCCAAGUCAGCAAGGCAGCCCAAGCUCCUGUCUCCAGGAACCAAGAACCUCUGGUGCGCGUAUCACCAGAUACGAGGCCAUGACAUCAGCGAAUGCAUUGGUUUCCACAAGCUCUUGGCAGAAAAGAUGCAGCAGUGUCAGGAAGUUCAAGGUAACCCAGAAGAACACCCUCGAGUCCCUCUUCCGCAUGAGCAAGAAGACCUCUUGACGCCAGCCCAAGGAAGCACUGAGCUAGACCCUCUGCAGGCCCUCUUCAAGGCAAUGCUCCAACAAGGCCUUGUCACUGCCAAGCCUACUAGGCAGCCGAGGCGUCUUACCCAAGGGACGAAAAAGCUCUAGUGCCCAUACCACCAAGUAUGGAGCUACGAACUCAAUGAAUGCUCUAGGUUUGAAGCUAUAGUCACAGAGAAAGUCCAGCAGGGCCACAUCGUUUGUGCGGUUCUCCCGAAACGUGUCUAGGCCAACGCUCCCAUUCUAAAGAAAUCCACACCACCAACCCCUCCUAAGUAUACGCUGGACCCUUCAUAGCCUUUGACCUCUCAGCCCUGGAAAGUCUACCAUGGGUGGAGUAGGCUCAAAUCCUUGAAACGUGAGGCAGUCUACCAAGCAAGGGCUACUCACCAGCCUGAUAGGGUGAUCCAUACACCCCCUCAAGGAUCUCAAAGGAGACGGCAGGCACCUAGGUUGGCCCGCCAAAGGAAUCAUCCUCCUCAGCCAUCAGUCGAGGAAGAAUUCCUCAGGCCCCUUCCUCCACUGCUGACCUUGCAAGACUUUAUCACAGGCGCAUCUCACCUCAUCCUUUCGUCGGACAUCCCCUAGUCACCAAGAGCUCGAGAUUCCUCCGAUAUGGGUGACGACGUUAAAAGCAACCCACGACGGUCAAACCCAAGGCAAGAUCUAAAAUAUCCCCUUGGCACGUCCAACUCUGGCGACGACGUAAAAGCCGCCCGGAACGUUCUAACUCUUCUUCUCCUCCCUCCUCUUUUAUUUUCUCCACAGGUGCAGCUUGACGGUGCCCAAAAUUCGACACUCUAAACAAAGAGUUCAGAGACACUAGCCUCACCCAGCCACAACAUGAACACCUCAGAGAGAUGCUGACUCAGGUGGCUAGAUUCUUGACAGCCAUCGACGCCUUGUCAACCCGAGAAAAAAUCGAGUCAUCUUUAGGCUCAUGUUCCAAAGAAGCCUCCCACAUGGUGCAGAUCUUGGAAGUACCAACUAACACGGGGCAAAUGGGUCUAAGAUCGGGGAAGAAGCUACGGCCCUCACCUCAAAAGCUCAAGACCCUCAAGUUUCCUAAUUCUCCGCUUUUCCCCAAACCUCAACCUCAAACCUCUGCAUCCCUAAUACAAGUUCCUAUUACUUCCUCAUCAACCCAUACCGCACCUGUUAAACAACAAAGUCAGCCGGUGUCGCAAACCUGUUCCUAAGCCUACCCGACCGCCCACACCAAUGACAGGAUCAGGAACACAUAAGACUAAUGAGGAUAAAGUGAGAUAUGAUGUAAUUGGUCACUUGAUAAAGCUUUCAUCCCUUCUGAGCAUCUAUGAUGCCCUUCUGCUGUCUAGGGACUACCGUAUGGCUCUGGUUCAAGCUCUUUCUAACCCAGAGGUAUACGAGACUGAAGUGGAACCUAUUGAAGUUGACUCGGCCAUCUUGAGUGGGUGCUUGGCAAUCUCUUUUUCCGAAUACGACCUUCAGUAGGGAGGAAAAUUCCACAAUCACUCCCUCUUCGUGAAUGGUGAACUUCACGCCUACGCUCUUAAUCGGAUCAUGCUAGAUGGAGGGUCAGCAGUCAACCUGAUCUUAACAAGGAUCCUCACCAGAUUGGGAUUAGGGUCUGACGACCUCAUGCCUACCCACAUCAAUGUGUAAGGGUUUAACCAGUCAGGGGAAAAGCCAACCGGCAUAGUGCGCAUUCAUCUUAAGAUCGGUGAUCUCAACAAUUACACCCAAUUUCAUGUGAUCGACAUCGAUACGUCUUAUAACGUCCUGCUUGGUCAUCCAUGGCUUCACCACCAGGGAGUAGUUCCUUCCACACUCCAUCAAUGCUUCAACUAUAGCCGAGAUGGAAGACAACACACAGUCUAUGCUGAUAAAAGACCGUUCCCUGUAGCUGAGACUCACUAUGCCGACGCUAAGUACUAUUUCACAGAACCUCCAACAUCAGAAAAGUCAAAGCAUGACGAUUGGAAGCCUGUGAGAGAGACAUGACCUUCGUCUCAUGAUGACGUUGAGGAUCUGGGGAGAAUGAUCACGGAGAUGUUCAAAGAAGAGGAAAGACAGGGCAAAACCCUCCCUUUGACCCCUAUCCACCCAAGCAUACCUUGCCACCUCUCUGAGGUCGUUGUGUCCUCUUCCGAAGACAAAGCUUCCCCCUCUACUUCUCACUUGCCAAAACGAAAUGACGAGCUAGAAGCAGCCCCCGAGGGUAACAUAUACAUCAGACCAGCAAAAGGUCCUGCAUGUCCCCAUCGCUCUUCUAGAAGAAAAACUGGUAUACCAACCACCAAGGAAGGUACUCCAAGUUCCGGCCUCCUUAAACAAAGCGAGCAGCAAUAGCUAAAAGAGGAUCCUACAUCUUGGGGGUUGUUGAAGAAGUACAGGCAAAUAAGAGUCAUUCCUCUGGCUCUCAGAAACAAGACUGCAUGGCAGAGCUGAGAAGCGAGGUUCGUAAUCUCCAGAGCCAAUUGGAGAUCAUGCGCAUCAUUUUAAAGUAUUUAAAGGGGUUUGUCCCGGAGACUAAGACUUAAGACGAGCUCAAGACCAAUGCACCUCGAAUAAAAGUCAAAGCUCCCCCAGACUGGAGCAUUUACAGCGAGCAGGCUCAUCAAGUCAUGAGAACCAUGAAUUAUGAGCCCCUCUGCAAUCAAACACUAAGGGGUGAGGAAGCAAACGCUCCCCCAUUCGAAGUCAUUAAAGCCACAAUAGGUUGUCACAAGCCAAAGCAAGGGGUGGGAUAUUAUUUUCAUCUCACACUAACAAAGGAUGAAAAGAAAUAAAAACAGAAGAAGACAAAAGAGUGAGAGAAAUGUCGCACAACACUCUAAGCAAAAAGUGGCAUUUCAUUCAUAAAACCAAAAAUUUAUACAAUUGUCGACAUAAUCAAUACCAAGAAUUGGUGUACAAAGAGUUAUAAAUGAGAGCGUUCAUUCAAGCCUCAAGACUAAGCCUAUAAUGUUCUUGUUGUAAGCACUUGAUUCCAUCCUUCAGGGCUGCCGCUUGAUGGAGGGCAAACUUUCUGAUCAAAGGAGGAUAUUCCCAACGUACCAACUGAGGAGAGAAUGGGUCUUUUCCUACCUCAUGGGCCACAUCAAGUAAGCUUUCUAAAUCGUUGAUGCUACAUUCAAGAAUCGCCAUGUCAUUCUCUUUAUCAAAACAUGCGAUUUCUUUAACAAUCGAAGGAACCUCCAAAGGAAAAAUCUCGAAAUCUGGGUGAACGAACUGACCCAUGUGCAAGUUGGUUCUAAGGUUACCCAAGUGUGCCACCGUGGAAUCGGUGACAGUCAAAGGCCCAGGAAAGAACUUAAGUAAAUGCCUAAUAGAGGGAUAUUUCUCAAUAGAAGCUGAUUCUUAUAAAGACAGAACUUCCCGAGCUUGUCGAGCCAUUUCAGUCACCUUCGUUUUGAACAAGUCUGCGCAAGGAACCUCGAAGUCUAAAAGGUUGUCUAUCAGCUUCUUCACCAAAGAGGGGGAGCAUGAUCAACUCAAAGAGAGAAGCCCGACUGAAAAGUUGAUAAGCGGCUCUAAGAAGAUCACGUCCGUUGUCUGCAGAAACAUUACAGCGAUUGAGCCUAGUGAGUUGUGUAGGGAAAUGCAUCAUGGCCUGCAAAACAACAAAGCCUCCCUGAAUAUGCUAGACAAGAGGAUGAAUAACUUGUCCCGAAAAUGAAGUGACUACAAAAGCUAAGCCUAUGAUAGGUUUCCUUCGAUUGAAAGAUGCAUGGCCCCCUCUCAAGGUGGCAAGAGGGAUCGCCUUGUUGCCCAUGAUUAUCAAGUCAUACUCGCUCUCACCUCCAGAGACAAGAAGUUGAGGAGAGGGAUGAGGUUCAUUCUCAGUAGUAAGAGGCUCCUCAUCCUCAACAACCAUAAGGUCCCUACUUGAAGAAGACUGCCUCCUAGCAGCUUUAGAAGCCUUGGCUGAUCGACGAAAAAACAUUUGUUGGUGGACACUAAUUAUUGCCAAGGUUGGGACUAUCGUCAUCUCCCACCAGGAUGGUAUCGUCGCCUCGUAAUCAACAGAGGGCUAUAGCCGGCCCACAACCAAGGCAUAUUAAUGCCUUGCUCCAGUUGUCAGCAUGCAUCACACGUGCGUCCCUUGAAAUCUGGCCACGCCGCCUGACACUUGCGGCAUGGCAUGUCAUCGAGCGUGCGGAGGAUGACCGUUCACCGUCCCACGACCCUCCGUCUUCGUGAUCGUUAUGGUCCCACAACCCUUCGGGUUCCCACCAGCAUUUCUCCUCUCUAUCGGGAAUCCACUCCCGACCACCGGACUCCCCACCUUUUACUGGUUACUGGAGUUAGCGAAAACCACCAGAAGUCCCCAGGAGACUUCCUUGCAACCCCCCAGGCUUUCCCUUCCCUUUGAUUUCCCACUUUAGCAGAUCACCAAAGCUCACCGGAGUUCCACUAAGUUUUUGGUGAGCCCAAUGCAGCCCCUUCUCUUUCUCCUCCAACAACCAGAGGACUAACAGAGCCCUCUGAACUCUCUGUGACCUCCUCAACAGCAGAAUGACCGGAGGAGCACUCGAACGCCGGCUGGGCACCUCUGUAAAUCCUGCUAAGGCCCUAAGAAGCCCUCUUCCUUACACAGAAAGCCUCGGCACUUCUCGAAAAGGUUUGCAACCACAGCACGAAGCUUUGUGACUUCCUGAAGCUUGUCAGAAAAACUCCUAAGGGCCUGUCUCUGCACGUUUUGGCCGAAUAGUUUAUACCAAAAAAUCCCUUGCCAAAGGCUCUAGCUCUCUCUCUCUCUAAAAACUGUUUUACCCUUCGGUAGAACAGUGAAUGGGGUUUUCCCCCUUUUAUACCCAGCGAUACAGCAAACUGCCCUCAACAAACAUGAAAUGACAUUCCAGUCGUUAGUUCUUGAAGGCAGUAAGACCAGGCCGGGUCGGGUCAAGCCUGAGCCUAGAAAAAGUCAUCACCGCAAGCUUCAUUCAAAGGAUAGCGUUGCGCGCUCCAUCAAAGGACUAUCACCGCGCGCCUCGUCUGGAGGUUAUCACCGCAUGCCUCGUCAAGGGGUCAUCACUGCAUGCCUCAUGAAGAGGUCAUCGCCGCGCAUUUCGUCGGGAGCUACCGUCGUGCGCUUCACCAAAGGGCCUAAUGUCGUGUGCUCCAUCCGACACUUAGUGCCACGCGCAUGUCGUGGCACUCUUAGCCAGACCAUCAUCCUGUACUCUCAAGAAGUUCAUCCCCUGCGCCACAACCUCACUCCUCAAGGAGUCCAGCCUCUAGUGAUGGCUCUACUCCCUAUGGAGUCACAUUCCCUCACCACGCCAUAGUCUAUGCUGCAUGACCUUAAACUGUACAGCCGAAGUCUAGCUGCACGACCUUAAACUGCAAGGUCCAAACUAUAUGACCUUAAACUGUAGUAGUAGUCUAGUUGCAUGACCUUAAACUACAUAGUCCUCAUUUCAUGAUUCUAAACUGUAGCAGAGGUCUAGUUGCAUGACCUUAAACUGCAAGGUCCAAACUAUAUGACCUUAAACUGUAGCGAUGGUCUAGUUGCACGACCUUAAACUGCAUAGUCCUCGUUUCAUGACUCUAAACUGCAACAAAGGUCUAGUUGCACGACCUUAAAUUGCAAGGUCCAAACUAUAUGACCUUAAAUUGUAGUGGUGGUUUAGUUGCAUGACCUUAAGUUGCAUAAUCUUUGUUUCAUGACUCUAAACUGUAGCGAAGGUCUAGUUGUACGACCUUAAACUGGAUGGUCCAAACUAUAUGACCUUAAACUGUAGCGGUGGUCUAAUUGCACGACCUUAAACUGUAUAGUCCUUGGUUCAUGACUCAAAACUGUAUGACUAUGGUCCAGCUGUGUGACCUUAAACCAUAGUGCACAUUCUGGCCGCAUGACGUUAAAAUGUUUAGCAUGACGCAAACUACAUAACCUUAAAUUAUAGCGGAGGUCUAGUUGCACGACCUUAAACUGCAUAGUCCUAACUGCAUUACUUUAAACUGCAUGGCCACGGUUCGAGCUACAAGGCCCUAAAAACUGUAACGCAUGGUGUAACAAAUGGCCCAUGCGCACAAAUCCAACCGAGAGAUAGACCACUCCUUCGCUAAAAGGGUAUCUUAGCAAUAUCCCCAGUGGAGUUAGAUGCACGCAAGGUUCGUACCUACCCCCUUAACCCCCAAUGGGCGUGUUCCGCACCAACAUCCCAAUAAGGGUCACAUCCUACUGCGACCUGCUAUCCCUAGGGAGUUAGGGUCAUCCUUAUCCCUUCAACCCUUAAUGAGGUUCAUCUGUGCUAUGGCCUGUCAUCCUUAUCGGAGUUACGUACACCCCAUUCCUCAUUAUCCUUGUGGAGUCACACUGGCCCCCCUAACCCCCAAUGAAAUCUCUUUCGUCUGCCACUCCUCGAGUGCUUCCAUCUCCAUCUAAAACUUCCAUCUCCUAGGGAUAAACUGUACAGCCACGGUCCAAACUAUAUGACCUCAAAUUGUAGUGGAGGUCUCGUUGCACAACCUUAAACUGCAUGGUCCUAGUUGCAUGACUUUAAACUGCAUAACCACAGUCCAAGCUAUAUGACCUUAAACCAUAAUGCUCGUCUUGGCAGCAUGACGUUAAACUACUUUGCCAGGUCCAGGAGGCAUGACCUUAAAUACGCCCCCACAUACGAGCAUACACCUUUUACGCGCAUCUUCAUGCACGCCUUCCCUAAUCGACCCGUUCUUGGGCGCACACCACCUCCAUUUCCUCCUCGGUGAGUCUACAUAUGUGCACACACACCCUUUGCGUGCAUCUUUAUGCACGCCUUCCCUAGCCAGCCCAUUCGUGUGCGCGCACCACCUUCAUCAUCAUUACCAUCCUUUCCCUCAGUGAGUCUUACCCAUGCUCACCAAAUGGCGAACCCUUCCGCAAGCCAUACUUGCCGUCAGCUAGUGGGUCACCAUUGCUCACCCACCAUCCAUCCAUCAUCAACUCUUCACAUGGCAACUUCAUGCCAUCUUCCUAAGUGAGUCAAAGUCAUCAUUAAGCUCACUCUAUGGCUUCCACAAACUACCAUUCAUCACCACUACGGUUCAGCUAUAAGACUCUAAACUAUAGAGCACAUCCUGGCUGCAUGACGUUAAAAGGCUUCACACAGGUCUUGAAGGCACGACCCUAAACAUGCGUUCUCAAAAAAAUGGGCAUGGUGUACACCUAGACAAGGGAACGUUAUGAGUAAAAAUGAUGGAUAGGCAUGGUCAUGAAAUCAUGAGUAAGAGCGUUCCGUAGAAAACAAAAUCCAGGCACGGUGAAAACCCAGAAAGGGCAUUGCUAGUAAAAAAGGAUGAAAAGCGUGGACGUGACUGUAGGUCAUGAGUAAAAGAGCCUAGAAAUAACAGGAGUUAGCGAAAACCGUCUUCACGGUGCCACUUCCCCUAUUCAAGUGAACCAACAAGACAGGAUGACACGCGGCUGCCGCCUCAGUCGACGUUCAGUUUCCAAACAAUCAAGAUCCUGGCUAAUGAGGUCUGCCUAAAAUCCUCAAAAGCCAGCAUCUAAUCGCAACACUAGAUGGCUCAUCGGGGAGUGAGAGCCACAAAGAUCUCCUAAGAACAUGGCUCAUCAGGGGGUGAGAGCCGCAUAAGAUCCCCCACGUUUCAACAUGGCUCAUCAAGGAGUGAGAGCAGCAAAAGAUCUCCCAGCAAUCAUGGCUCAUCAAAGGGUGAGAGCCGCAUAAGAUCCCCCACGUUUCAACAUGGCUCAUCAAAGAGUGAGAGUCACAUAAGAUCUCCCAGUAAUCAUGGCUCAUCUGGGGUUGAGAACUGCAUAAGAUCCCCCACAUUUCAACAUGGCUCAUCAGGGUGUGAGAGCCGCAUAAGAUCCCCCAUGUUUCAACAUGGCUCAUCAAGAAGUGAGAGCCGCAUAAGAUAUCCCAAGAGUCCUUGAGGGUGAGGAUGAUGACUAAGAGAUCCCUCCGAAAAUGCUAAGGACCAUCACGAAGGUAAGAAACUGACGAAGCCAGGUUCUAACCCCCCACAGGCUUUUGGGUACGUCUCGCCAAAACCCCCUAGCCUUCAUGGGACCAGACUUUCAGGAUGGGUCAGAAGCCCCAGACUGGACCCCGCUAGACGGGACCUACAGAGACAUCCUGAGCAUCAAAAGCAAACUUGGUGUAGCAGCGAACAAUGCCGACUAAAUGUUCGUAGCAUUUGACCUUCCAAAAAAGGCCUGAUAGUCCCUUGAGGGUGAGGACUUCGAUAAGAACUCUCAAAAUUUUUAAAUGAUUGCACUUCUCGAUUCUCUCGAAGCACAACAUUCGACAGGGCAUGUUGUUGGAAGGUAUUUUUCAUCAACAUGGGGCCCCCGCUCAAUAAAGGCCUAGCAAAUAGUGGAAAUUAUGAGAGUCUCAUAAUAGCCCUAGAACUAGCCAAGAUCUUCAUGAGGUCUCUCAAAGUUUCCUGCCAAGUUUUGUCACAUUCCGACAUGUUUAAGGCAAUGCAGAUUGAGUAACAGUUCCAGUAAAAUCGGCCUCUAGCACCCUGAAACAGACCCUAUAACUAGAGCUACAUUUUUUAUCUCUCAAUUUUCUAUGGGACCACUACCAUUGGAACCGACACAGUUGAAAACCCCUAGUGUUCAAAUUUCAGCUCUAACGGACACUCCAAGAAGAAGUUAUAGGAAAAAGAGUAAAACAGGAGGGUCGCACGCUAUUCCUGUGCGGCCACCCUACAACUCCACACCAUGGAAGGGACAAUCACCAUUAGUGAAUUUUGACACUCAUAUCUCACAUGUACCAAGUGGGAUCGAGCUCCAUUUUGGUGAGCAUGUUCGUCUAGUCAAGACGAGCGAUUUGAUAUAUUGCAUGUCCCGUGAUGACAGCCGAGCACGAAGAAAAGCUAGAGAGAAGUUGCUGAUUCGUGAAGAAAGUGCUGGAAAUUCAGCAGCGUCGUAUCUCGCUCAAGUGGCCGGAUCAUGCUGCUCGCGAGCUUGAUUGGCACAAGACUAAUUCCAUUGCGGGUGUAAGGUCUCAGGGUAUCUCUGACCCGAACCCCGUACAUGAUGAAUGCUUGGAUUCUGCACACGAAGCCGAUGAAGAUACUGUAAAUUUCAUCACUGGAAUUCCAGAUUCUGACCAAAAUUCCAAAGUUACGAAAUCUUCGUUCGGGAACGAAAUCAAACUACGUUUGUUGCCCCACGAUCGUAAUGACAUGCUCAGUGUAGUUCAGUGAAGAAAUCAGCAAAACACAUCAAGAAACGAGUACACUAUCGAUCCAAAAUUUCAAGAUCCACUCAAAUUUUAAGUCACAUGAUCGAGCACUAAAAAUAUGAUCAGUAGCUCGAAGUUGGUAUCAAAUCGAUUGUCAUGUUGAGCCCUAUAAGAAAACAAUCAUAUUACCAUCUACCGAGCAUCAGAACGACCUCGGAUCAUCCAUGCAAGAUCACGCAAGUUCUAGGGCGACACAGGGACUGUUAUGGAAGUCCAUGGAUUGUUAGGAAGGGGCAAAUAUGUCAUUUUGCACCUUAUUUUAUAAUUCCUUUUAAUUCAAUUUAAUCCUAAUUUCUAGCAAUUAGGGUUACUUUGGUCAUCCACUCAUGUUUGGAGCAAAUUCUAUAUAUACGUACCAAUAUUGUACGUAGAAAAGACACACAUACAAGAUCCAUCUCCUUGCAAAAGAGAGAGUUUUUACUGAAUAUAGUUUCUCUUUCUUCCCACUGUUGUGUCACGCUUGAGAGAGAGAGUGAGGUGAGAGAAAAUUUUGAUCGGUACCCUUAGGUUCAAGGUAAAUCUUCUCUCUCUCUUCUUUUUCUUUUCUUCUCUCUCUCCUCUUUUCUCUCUUCUUCUCUAUCUUCUUAUUCUUCCCUGUCUGAGCUCUCCUCAGAGGCCAUGCACGGUAGUGACAGUGUCGUGCAUGCCUCUCUAGUAGCCUCAUAGGUCACACAUGGCGAUUACAAGUCCAUGCGCGCAUCUCUCUCCCUCUGUUCUAUCUCUUUCGCGAGGCCAACAGACGGCAUUGCUCAUAUCCGUCGGUAGACGUAUCCUAAGUGCCUCAGCGAAGGACGUCGAUAACGAAGCCUAUCGCUGCCAGCAAGGGGUUCACCUUGUCGUGUGAUAGUUGCAGAUGGCAAUACCCAUCGCCGCCUGCAAAGGGUCGAGGUAAUACUCAUCACUGCGCAUUGGUUUCUUCUGCGCUUCCCUGCGCCCAUUGUCGUGCACCCUACGAGAAGUAAUCGCCGCGAGACCUAUGAGAAGUUAUCACGGUGCUCCCGUUAGGAGCUAUCACUGUUCGCUAGGGACAUGUCGCCUCCUCGUGCUGCCAACGACAAUGCCCAUUGCCGUUUGGAUUCUUCCUCCCUCUGUCGUCUCUCUCUCUUAUCUUUAUCUUCAUCCUUUUCUCUUCUAACUUUACUGAGGGUAGAUCUAGCUUAGCACCGCCAUCUCGGUCUAGGUUUUGAGUAGUAUUGCCACUGUGCUGGUUCUGAGGACCAUGCCCAUCUUGCUACCACUCCGAAUUGAUAAUCAUCCGGAUAUCACGCUAGCGUCGCCUCUCCGUCGAGUUUUUCUUCUCCUUUCUAUCUUUAUCUAAAACUUUAUGUUUCAUCAUGCACUCACAUGAACCCUAAGACAAGGGUGGGUCUUCUUGACCCUCCAUAGAAGUGUUGUGCAGAAAACAAGAGGAUUGAAGGUCAAGGGAGGCGAUUUCGAACCAGCUAAAGCAGCUGAAGGGCUUCUUCGUGAUCUAAGAGGGUGCCCACGCGAGCCAGCCCGAGUAAGUCCCUAAUCUACCUAAAAUUCGUCUCUCAUCAGUUGAUAUACCUGCCCUUGCUCUCGAGCAAGGUUCUGAGAGAGCGAUCUCAAACCAUGGGUUCACUAGAAACCCGAGGUACAUGCCACCAGAUCAUCUAGAUCUGUAAGGCGAGAUCGAGGCACCUAAUCAAAGAUCAAUUUUAUUUUUGAAGAAGGAUUCAGUGGAUGGUCUAAUGGUGUUAACGUUGAGUUAGGAACUCAACUCAAGGCGAUCUUUCUGGUUCUCAAUUCUUCUUAAGGUUUAGAAUCUUUGUUUGGAGGUCUCCCAUUUAUGCGGAAUAACCUAUUUGGAGGCACAAAUAAAGUGACUUAUCAUUCGUGGAUUAAAGAUUGAGUAUAUUCCUAAUGUUACUUCUAUUCAAGGGUGAGCUAUGUAGCCCUACAUGGUGGAAUUUGAGAAUCUCUUUGGUGGCUUACUAAAUAGCCGGAUUUUCAAUUUCGGGAAAUGAUGGAGAUGAUCAUGUAUGCAUGGUCUCCUUUCUAAAUAAUCAAUUUAAGAGGGAGUGUUAAAAUUGUUAAAAGUGUAUUUUUUAGAAAGUAUAUUAGUUUUUAUUUUAUUCUAUCAUGAGUGAUGUAGUAAGGUUCCACUUGUAAGUUUGUGUGGUAGGAAGUUGUAAAACUACUAGGUGGUUAAUAUUUAUAGUUACAAGUAGGUAGUUAUUGUAGGAAAUAUGGUUGUAAAAACCUUUAUUUAUAGAGAGGUGUGUGGUGAGAAAAUUUGGUCACAUGUAUUAAGGUUAAUCUUGGCUAUCAAGAUUGUAAUGCUUUUGUGUACCCUUGGGUGACAUGUGUUAAGGUUAAUCGUGUAUAUUGAGAUUGUAAUGCCUUUGUGUACCCCAUGUUUUUCUUUAGUGAAGUUUUUCUUGCACUUCAUCUUGGUUCUCCCUCUUCUUUCUAUUUGCUUGUGAGUCUUGUAGUAUUGUCACGCUAAUUGAAAAGUAGAUUGUUCCAGUAUUGUGGCAUCCGUCUUUCUCUACAAUAGUUUUUAUCAAUGAUAACCGAAGUGGCGUCAACACAAAGUUUGAAUUUUGGAUGGAUAUUCUAGAAUCUAAAGGUUUCAAAUUAAUCGGACUAAGAUAGAGUAUGUGGAAUGCAAGUUUAGUAAUAAUAGAAGUAGAUAUGAAGAAGUAGAUAAAAUUAACAUACAAUAAGUACCAAAAAGAGUACACUUUCGAUAUGUUGGGCCUAUAAUCUAAGAAAAUAGAGAGAUUGAGGAAGAUGAAUCAUAUAGAUAUAGAGCUAGGUUGAUGAAGUGAAGAUAUACUACUGAAGUUUUAUGUGAUCGUCACAUGCCAAUGAAGUUGAAGGGGAAGUUCUAUUUGACAGCUGUGAGAUCAAUUUUGCUUUAUUGAGUGGAAUGUUAGACGGCCAAUAAAUAAUAUUCCGAUUGGAAGAGUGUAGUAGAGAUGACGAUGUUGAGAUGGAUGAGUGACAAGAUAAUAUGGGGAUAGAACUCAAAAUGAAUACAUUUGGGAGAACUUAGGUACAGCCUCAUUAGGUGAUAAGAUGAGAGAAAAUAGACUUAGCUUUGCCAUGUGCAGCACAUACCCAGUAUAGUACAUGUUAGGAGGUAUGAGUUGGUUGAAAUAGAAUGCUCAAAAGGGUAAUAGUUAGGUCUAAAAAGAUAUGGUUGGAAGUAGUGAAAAAAAAAUGGGGACUUAUAGCCUCACUAAAGGAAUGACUAUUGAUAGAGAAAAACAACGAACCAGAAUUAUAUAGCCCACCCAAAUGGUUGGAAAAUGGCACUAAUGAUGAUGACUUAUGGUCCGAGAACCAUCCAAAUUUCUAAGGGAUUCUAGUUUCUAGACCCACGAGGAUAGCUCCUUUCGUUAGUCCAUGUUGAGCAUGGAAUGUGCAAGCGGUAUGUGCCAACCACUACGAAUAUGCUUGACUGUUUGGUGCGAGUCUUUAGGGAAAUUGAAAAUUUAGGAAAUAAAAAUUUUAUGAAAUAUAUUUUUUCUGUUUGGCAAAGGUGAUUUUAUUUCCUUUGUUUGGUUGAAUAUGAGAAAUUAAAAACACGCAUGACUCACUUAUUUGAAUAUUUGUCUAGUGAAGGAAACCUCGUUUUUGUCAAAACCUAUCCAGCAAUACUAAUGAAAUGAACCGUUCAGAUAAAAACUUAUUGAUUUAUUAUUAAUAUCGCAAGUUCUUAUUAUUUAUAGUGUUCCCUGGUUAAGGUUGAUUAGCAUGGCUAUUCUAUUAAUCAAUUAGAGAUUGAUAAUUGUCUAUUGAGGAUAAUUUUUUUUGGUAUAACCUAUCCAAAGUCAUAUUAACAAAAUGGGCAGUUCCAUUUAAAAAUUAGUAUUAUUUUAAGGGAAAAUUGUAUAUACUCCCCUUUCUGAAAUCAACUUGCUAGACAUCUCAACCCCCAAUAUUUAUUUUCACGUAUCCUAAAUCUUAAUAUUAUUUUUUUGUAUUUAUCUCCGAGUCAAAAAAUCAACUAAUUUAAAAUGAAAAUACACUUCAUCUCUCUCUCGAUCUCUCCACCCACCUUCUAUCUUUUCCCCUCUACCUGCCCUCUUUCUCUCUACCCACCCUCUCUCUCACUCUCUCUACCCCUCUCUUUACCUAUCGUCUCUCCAUCUCUCUUUCUCUCUCCAAUCACCCUCUCUUUCUACCUGCCCCCUUUUCUCUCUACUCGCCCUCUCUCUACUCCCUCUCUACCCGUCCUCUCUCACUUUCUCUCAUGUUCCGCAUUUUCCUCCUCCUCUUCUCGUUCCCCAAUAGGAAACCAUCCGCUAAUAGGGAGCCAUUGUUUCCAACACUUGGUACCCAACUUCAAACCCCACAAUUGAAGCCAGCUCCUACCAUCUCUUCUGUCACAUUUCCAGCCAAUAUUUCUGGCCUAAGCUAUCCAAACUCGCCAGAAAGCCACCCGAGAAUCACUCAUUUCCAGCCAAUAUUUCUGGCCUAAUCUAUCCAAACUCGCCAGAAAGCCACCCGAGAAUCACUGGAAAAAUCACAGUCACCGUUGUUGGCUUACUAUAUCAGGAAUCUCAUCGAAAUUCAGGCAAUGGGGUUCCAUAUAAAAGGGUCUCGAAGCUCAGAUCUAGUAGCCUGAGACUUUUUUCGACGGCAAAUUUUGGCAACAAAGUUGGGGUCUCAACAAGCUCUGAUGUGCUUUAUUUCACAUUGUUAGUGUUCUCUCCUUGCCAGAAAAACAUCGACUCCCAGAAAACAAGCCGGAAUUUCGACACAGCCCAGAAAUUAGGCCAUUGCUGCCUCUAUCCAAGCCAGUAUCUGGUGAGAAUGUGGCUUUUUUCAGCAAUAUUUGGGCUUUGUACGGUGAGAAUGUAGCAUUUUCUGAUGGGUCUUUGACAAAUUCAGGGGAAUUCGAGGAUGACUUCUAUUCACUAAGCAAGUAUAGAAAGGGUGGGUAGAGAGAGAAAGAGAGAGAGGGUGGAUAGAGAGAGUGGGAGAGAAGGGCACUUUUGUUUUUAAACUUGUUGACUUUUUUACACGAGGUACAUAAAAUAAAAGUGGUGUUGACGUUUAGGGUGCGAGAGAAAAAAUAAUGGGGUAAAAUUUUAGAAAGUUAAUUUUUGCGAGUAUUUAUAAUUGUUUUUUAUUUUUAUAAUACCACAACUUAUUCUUAUUAAUAAAAAACUAUUUAGGAAAAAGGGUUGGGUUGUCGUAGUAGCACCUCCACACUUGAAUCAUCUUGUUGUGGUUUUCAUUCCCACUACUAACGCCACCUUCUAACAUCUUCAAAGAACGAACACCUUACGCCUAAUCUACCAAAAAAUAAUUCUAAUAAUAGUCACCGUUAUCUUUGAUUAAAAUGGCUAUGCAAUCAAUAUAUCUCUCUCUUAUCCUUUUUGCUUUCUUUAAUUGUUGUUCUCUUAUGUACAAUUUCUACUUACCCCUGUUUGGAUGAUAUACUAUUUGAAUUAAAGUCAAACACAAACAGGCCAAGGCUCUAUAUGUUGAAAAAUAUCGGAUGUGUUUUGGAUAAGGAAAAAGUUUAUAUAAGGAUGCUACUUUAUAAUGUAGAACUACCUUAAAAAAUCCAUCGGAAAAGAUAGUUUUAAUGUUGAAAAACCGUUUGAUUGAUCAUCUCGACAUCGAGAUGUAAGACUAUGAAAAAUAAAAAGAUUUUAAGUCUCAGAAAUAGUGCAUUUACAACAUAUUAUCUAUACCGUCCAUUUUCAAGAUUUUCAUAUGUUUAUAGAUCUACUUGAUUUUAACCAUUUUUUAAAUUUUAAAUUUUAUGAUUAGAUAUAAAAAUAGAUUUUGAGAUAAUCCUAAAAACAUUUUACAUCAAAAUUAUAUACCAUAAUAAAAUUUGAAGGAGCACCUUACCUCUACACCUACGGAUGCAUCCGUAUGCAAACUAUACCCUUUGGAUGAUAUAGUAUUUGAAUUAAACUCAGACAUCAACAGGCCAAGGUUCUAUAUGUUGAAAACGAUCGGGAAUAUUUCAAAUAUAUUCCAUUGAUAUUGGGGGUACAAAUCCUUGGAAUCGGUGAGAAGAUGAUUCUUGAAUCUUAUCCAUGAAAGUGACUGGUGAUAAUGCCAUGUUGUGCAUCAAAAUGACAAUUUUUUUGUCCAUGAGGAUAUCAGUAUUUUAGAGAGACAAAGCUCCUGGUUAUAUUCAACCUGAGACAAAGUUCCUGGUAUGUGUAACUUGAGAGAACAACGACCAAUGAAACCUAAUAGCUUUCAUCUUUUAGGAAACAUAAACAGAGAGACAUAAGUAACAAUGGAGGCAAAAAAAAAAAGAAGCAAGAAACUAAUGCGUGUGGAUUGAUCCUAUUGUACGACGUUCGUAGGGUUUUGAAGGGCAAGAGGCACUGCAUCAAGAUCACUUGACUUGCACUGAUACCAAUGUUAGGUACGUAAGUAGAAGGAGAUAUUUACCACUAGAUUAUAAGAGGGUCUGGACUGUAUAUCGUAGAGAGACUAGGGUUUCUCAAAAACGACCGAGAAUAAUUUUCUAGGUAUAUUUUUUUGAAAUCUUUCAGAAGUGAUUUUCAAAAUCUAGGAGCAAAGAAUGUACACAAAUGACAGUUGUAAAUAAUAUAAUUUUUUUAAAAAAACCAUUUUAAAAAAAAUAAAAAUCUCUAAAAACCAUUUUAAAGAAAUAAAAAUUUAAAAAUUAAAAAUUAAAAAUUAAAAAUACAUGGUGCAUAUGGGGCACCAACGGCCUUUCCAUCAGUCUUAAAUGUUACUUACCUCGUUCCAAAAAGAUUUGCUACGGUCACUUAUGCCCAUACUUUUAUUUGUGUUUGGGAAAACCAUGAGCUCUUUUGUUUAAUAAGAUAAGUUUAAUUAUCUAUUUUUAUUUUUAUUUUUAUUUGGUCUCCAUUGAGGGCAUAGUUUACCUCUAAUCUCUCAGUCAUAAAACCUAUUUAGGAUAAUCUUUUCAAUUUGGAAUUUUGAGAACUACUUAAGAAUUACGAGAUAAUUAUUUUUUAAAAGAACUGAAAAUUGAGUUUUCUAGCACUUAGAUCCUACCACCUAAAAAUUGGAUGGUCUCUAUUCAACUUAAGAUAUUAUAUUUUUAAGUGCUUACAGAGUACAAUUAGAUUUAUUUAUUUAUUUUAGGUUAAUCUAUAGGUUGAAGAUGUUACAUCGUUAAAUUUUGGGGUCCUAAAAUUAAUUUUAAGUGGGGUUUUACCUGAGGGAGUAAAUGGACAUUCUACUCUUCCAAGAAUAAAAUAUCUUUUUAGCUAGUAUUUUUAGUAAUAUAUUAUUAUCAAAAGAUUUUAUGUUCCUAGAAUAGCAAUACCAUCCAUUUUCUCCCUCGGGUAGGGCUAUAAAAUGGACUAGGUCAGGUCCGGUUCGACUUUGACCCAUGCAUGACCCUACUAGGUCUAAAUUAGACCAACACCUAACCUAGACUUGGGUUGGGUCUUGUCAAUUGGACCCAGACGUUCGGGUCUGGGUCUAGAAAUUAAAUUAUAUAUAUUUUUUUGUUUUUUAUAGUUUUUAUGAUAUAAAAUUUAUAUAUCUUAUAUUUGUAUGUAUCUUAUAUUUGUAUAUACCGGGUUAGGUCACGAUCAGGGUCAACCUGACCCAACCCAAUUACACUCCAAGAUGGAUCCAAACCAGGACCUGUCCUAGUUCAGGUCGAGGUGAAGUGGACCAAGACUAUACCCUUAGAGUGUCUAGGUCAAGACCCUAUCCCAGUUGUUGGGGUGACCCGACCAUAUUUCCCACCCUUACCCUCAGGUAAAUAUCUAAUCUAGGAGUGCUUUCAAGAGCUUAAAGUUUGGAGAUGUAACAUCCUCCUAGCAACGAAUCUCGAAAAGAAAAACCCAACUAGUACUUUCGAUGUGCCUCUGAAAACAUAAUGUCUCAAAACUUUCACCCAAGGACUAACUAUACAAUAUGCUUCCGUAGAAGAAUGGUGUAUGUGGUUCUAACUAGUCAUAGAACUAUUUUUUCAUGAGCAUUUACUACACAUGGAACACUUUGGCAAGCCGUGUGACUGCUUUUGUUUUCGAAACCCAUUUAUUUAAAGGAAAAGUAGUUUAUGCUCCAAGGGCCGCAGAAGUACAUUUGUGCCUCCCGAAGCAUCACAUAUGUGAAGUUGUGGUUUCUCCUAUAAAGUGCAAAAUCAAAUUGUGCUUUCUCCAAAGGGCAAAAUCAACAGUUCAAAAAUUUCCUUCAAAAUUUUUCAUUUUAUUUUUUUAAAUUCAAUGUAUUUUUAAGCAUUCAUGAUUUCCAUGUUAGAAACUAUAUAUACAUAAAGCAUGAAGUACAAAAUCCAACUCCAAAAUAAAUCAUGAAAAGGGGAUGCAUAUCUACAUAUGAGUCCUAUGAGUCAUAAAAACCGUUUAUUUAAUCAAUGCAAAAUGCUCACCACUAAGAAAGAAAACACUUCUUUGUCAUGCUCUUCUAUUUGAAAUUUUGAGAGAAUGGAGAAAACUACCCUGGGCUUCAAACUUACAGUGAAGGUUUGACAAACUCUUUCAGUCUCUCCCUUUUUUAUCCGAGUGCACACUGGCAAAUAUCUAUGAUCAUAGGAAUUCAUGGUAUACUUCCUAAAGGUUGAAUUUUGUAACAACAUGUUGUUAACCUGUCUUGCUUGGUUGAAAUUUUCUUUUUCUUUUAGGAUAUAUGUUUGUUUUCCGGAAGACGUGAUUUUGAAAAACAUAUCUUACAGAGAAGUGGAUACUGCAAGUUUCAUGGUCACCUAUAGAACUUGCGGUAUCCACUUUUUAAUAUUAAAAUGACUGUAUGUCGAUACCGCAAUAUCCACUUUUAGUGUAACACUUCCCGUUAUCAAUCAGGGAAGUGCUACAAUAUUGGAAAAUGUAGUUUUCAAAAUCAUGUCUUCCAAAAAUCAACCAAAUUGAUUUUUAUAUUUAUAACCAUGUUCAUCAAGGUAGAGAUAAUAUAUUUGCAAAUUUUGCAAGUAGAAAUGGUUCUUUCGAUACCUUAAAUCUUUCAACAUUUUGACUUAAUCAAUUGAUUGGCAAUCUACAAAGAUGAGUACGGUAAAGAAUUAGACUGCUUAGUCGAGGUGGAGAUGUGCAACUAGAGUUUUAGGCGAUCGCUGCAUAUACCAAUAAAACUGAAGGGGAAGUUAUAUAAGACAACUGUGAGACCAACUUUACUUUAUGGGACGGAAUGUUGGGCGAUCAAGAAACAACAUACAUAUAGAAUGAAUGUAGUUGAGAUGGAUGAGUGGUAAGACAAUAAGGGAUAUAAUUAGAAGUUAAUACAUUCGGAAGAGCUUAUGUGUGGCUCUAAUAGGUCAUAAGAUGAGAGAAAACAGACUCAGAUAGAUUGGUCAUGUGCAACUGGAGUUUUAUGCAAUCGUUGCAUACCAAUGAAACUAAAGGAAAAGUUCUAUAGGACAACUGUGAGACUAGCUUUGCUUUAUAGGACGGAUGGGUGAUCAAGAAACAACAUACCCGUCGGAUGAGUGUAGUUGAGAUUGUGAAAGGAAAGUAUAUAUUGUAUAUCCGUUUAAUAUAGAAGGUGUAUAUUGUAAUCAGUAAAUAUGUGAAGGGUAGGAUAUUGUAUCCUAUAUUUUAUGGUAAGUCUGGUAUAUUUUAGGUGUCUAUGAUUUACUUUUUAUUAUUGUGAUAUGUAAUUUAUCUAUAAAAGACAAAUUUGUAUAUUCAUAACAAUUAAUGGACAUUGAGUCUCUUUAGAUAAACCUUAGACUCUUCGCAGAAAUGAGGAUGUUGAGAUUGAUGAGUGGCAAGACAAUGAGGGAUAUAAUAUAUUCGAAAUAAAUACAUUCGGGAGAACUUAGGUGUGGCUCUAAUAUGUGAUAAGAUGAGAGAAAAUAGACUUAAAUGGGUUGGUCAUAUGUAGUACAAACCCAAUACAACAGUUUUUAGGAGGUACGAAUUGGUUCAAGUGGAAGGCAGAAAAAAGGCAAGGGAUAGGUCUAAAAAGAUAUAGUUGGAAGUAGUGAGAAAAUAUAUGGCGACAUAUGACUUAGUGGCCUUUAAUAGAGCAAAAUAAUAGAUCAGGAUUCGUGUUGUUGAUCCCAAAAAGUUGGAAAAAAGCUCUCAUAAUGAGUAGGAUAAGAAAGAUACGAAAAAAGAGAAAGUCUUAUAUGUGACCCUAGACACUUAUAAAUAUGACCCCACUUCUAAGAAUGGACGGCUGAGAUCGCUCAUGUCACAUUGUCAUGCCAAAAUACUAUUAGACUUUUAAUUUUUUUUACGAAGUAUUUUUUAAUGAAAUUUGGGGUGUCCCCUCGGGGCGUCCCGUCUUUUCAUUGAGGCGACACCUAAAAAAAUAAAAAUAAAAGCAUUUGCAAUAAAAUUAAAUAACCAAAAUGACUCUACAAGGUUUAGGGGUAUUAUGGUAAUUUUUUAUCUUGAGCGUGUGUGUGUCUAUAUUUAUGUGUGUGUCUCUCUCUUUUAGACAUAUUCAUGCCCCAAAUUUUGCUACAAAAGCAUUUUUAGAAUAAAAAAUAAAAAAUAAAUACUCUAGGCCAUCGGAUCAAGAUCUGAUGCUCAAGAGCAAACUCGACUCAAAUUGAAUGGUUGAAAGUAAGGGCCACAUAUAUUUUAUAUGUAGAUGGGUCACAUGUAAAGCUUUCCAAAAAAAUAAAAAGUGUAAAUCAACCUAGCACUGCAUCAAAUUAAAGCAUGGUUUAUGUUUGAACUCUUACUCACUUGGAAGUUGGAACCACAAAAAUUGAUUGGCAACGUACAAAGAUGAGUAGGGAAAGGAGAAAAGAGAAAAGGAUUUUUAGAACACCAGGUGAGGGCAACAGAUUGACAACAUCCGAUCAUCAUUAUCAGCUGAGCCUUAUCUCAUCUACACGAAUCAUCUUCUGUCAUUCUACUCUAUCAAAUGCCACACCUUAGUAAGAUCAUAAGUCACCAUAUAUUUUUUUAUUAUUUCCAUCCAUAUCCUUUUGAGUCUUCUUUUUGCCCUUUUAGAGCCUUUCACUUAUAUCAAAUCGCAUCUCCUAAUCGAUGUUGAUUUAGACCUACGUUGCACAUGGCUAGCCCACUUAAGUACUUUUCUUCAUCUUAUCGCCUAUGAAACCACACCUAAAUUCCCUCCAAUAUAUUCAUUUUGAAUUUUAUCAUUUCUUGUUUUACCACUCAUCCAUCUCAACAUCCUCAUCUUAGCUAAACUCAUCCUAUAGCUAUAUUGUUUCUUGACCUCUUAACAUUAUGUCCCAUAAGCAUUGCUUGUCUUAUUAUUGUCCUUUAGAACUUCCCAUUCAAUUUCAUUGGUAUGCUGCGUUCACAUAAAACUCCAAAUACACAUAUCCACUUCCCCCACCUUCUCCAAUUUCAUGAACAUCGUCCUCAAUCCCUCCAUUCUCCUAGAUUGUCGACCGAAAAUAUCAAAAAUAAUGUAUUUUAAAUAUUUCUUGACCAUCAAUCUUAAUUACUUCCUUGUUUAUACUUCUAUUAUUACUAAACGUGCGUUCCCUAUAUUUGGUCUUAAUUUGAAUCAGACAACCACAUUUCACCAUGCCAAAUGAUAUAUUUGGUCUUAGUUUGAAUCGGAACCACAUUUCACCAUGCCAAAUGAACCAGCCGUGCAGUUUCUAUAUAGGCAUGGUCUAGUCAGGUAGAUGCAGCAUUGAAAGACUUGUUGACUUAAGUAACAAAUCACCGGGGUCACCCCAAGGGUCCUGACUUCGAAGAUUCAAGGCCCCGGACAAGGCGCAACCUAUUCACUACAAUGAAUAGAGGUACUGAAAUUUCAAUAAGGCUCGGGUGAGAAGCGCCAUUGUCAUUUUCAUUCAGCAGAAAAAAAAACUUAAAAUAUUGACAUUUGGUGCAAAAGAAAGUAUUUCAGCUUCAAAUCUUAACCCAUCGAUCAUCGUUGCCUAACGUAUUAUUAGAUCCAUAAACAAAAUUUUAAAAGCAUUAACUCGAGCUUUAGCAUAUUCAAGAGAAUUUAAUUUUCCAAUCUCAGGUUUUAAAGAGCCUCAACGAGCCUCAAAUCUAACUGAUUCAGACAGACCCCAAAAAUCUCGUAAUCUUUUUCAUCAAUAUGUGUAAUGGUGUUACAGAAAAUAUUCAUUUCCUAAUAUUGCUUUCUUUGUAAUUUUUAAAUCAAUUUAAAACUUUUUUACUGCUGUCCAAGUCCAUGCUGACUCAGGACUCGCUAAGCCGACUCAGGGCGGCACAUGGCACAUGGAUGCAGCAAGCAACACCACAUGAGAAGACAGCACAUGGUGCUAUUCACUACCAUGGAUGCAACAGAGAAAACAAGUUGGAUUCUGCGACCAGAAAUAGCUUCCUUGAGAACAGUCCCUCUUACACUACAAGACAUAAGGUCGAUGCUUCUGUAUAGGGAGGUAUAACGCCCAAUUUGUAGAGAAUAGGACAGAAAUGAUUUGGAGCCUACCCCUACGUACCCCACCCUGGAUUUGGACAAACCCAACAUAAAAGCUUUUCCAUAGUGUGAUAGAUAUGUACCCAUCCAUUGAUAACCACCCAUCAACAGUACUAUUGAACUCCACUCACUGAACUCAUCAAUCAUAAUAAAAGGAUAAACAUGUGAGGUAGUUCUUGUUCUCCAGGCCUAAGUCUCUGCCACCUUCAAAAUAUCAUCACUCAAGUCUUGACUCGAUGGACAAAAAUGAAAAAAACAGCAUUGAAAAUUAAGAAUAAGAGAAUUCAGAUUCGUAAUCCAAACCAUUAAAUGCCAUUGCCUUACUACUAGGCCAAAAACUUACCCAAAAAAAUUUAAAAUUUAAAAUACUUAAGUGGUAAGCUCCAUAAUGGCACUGACUAUAUCUCCAUCUGAACCCUUGAGGGCUCUAAUCGCCUUAGCUCUUGAUACUCCCGCUUGGGUCAUGACCAGGUCAAUGUCUCGAGCUUCAAUGCCUGUUUCAUCAAUAUCUUCCUCUUCAUCAUCUUGGACAGCAGCUGAUGCAUCUGGCUUGGCCAGAACAUUGCUCAUAUCAGGCAUCCUGAACUGUUGGGCUGCUUGAGUCUGAAGUUGUGAGCUCAAGUCCUCAAUCUUUGCCUCACCAAAUAUCACAUAGGUCUCGGAAUUUGGGCUCUUGAAAAUAUCAGGUUUCGAGAUCACAAACAAGAUCUGCAUGGUUAAAGAAGUAGAUUGGUUAACAAUCAAUAUUAAAAGAUUGAAUUUCUGUAUCGCCAACAAGAACUGCAAGGUCAAACAAGCACAAUUAGUUAGUAAACAGCAAUGGAAAAUUCUCUCACAGUUAGCAAACAGCAAUGGAAGUUUCUCUCUCCUCUCUCUCUCUCUCUCUCUCUCUAUCUCUCUCUCUCGAUCUCGCACGUGUAUUUGUAGACACUGUACAUAACGUGAUGAAUUUAUGUUGGAAGCCAUACGUUUUUGGUUCUUUUGAUAGUCACUCUGCUGACGCCAGUAACAGCUUUCAUCCCCAGCUUCAGCAUGGCCUUCCUGCUCUUUUUCUCACUCCUACUCUGCUUAGAACCCUCAUUUCCAGCAGCACCUUGCUCGCCUGAGGAGAAAAAGGCAUUGAGGAGAACCUCAGAAAUUUAAAUUGUAAGCAUAGAUCCAAACAAUUGUAAUACGAACCUCAAAGAGUUCAUAUAUCAGUAACAAAAAGUGAGUAUAUUUUACAAGGUAGAUAAAAGAUGAUAAUGCUCCUUUCUUGAUUUUCCCACAAAAGGAUGGUAGAAGGCUACUUGAGAGCAUGCACAACUGUUCGAUAUAUAACCAACAAAUUUUGAUCCUUCAACAGUUGGGCUUUGGUUCUGGCCUUCAACCUCAACAAACCCAAACAAUGAUAAAGAGAAAACAAGUCAUAACUUGUGAAUACUGCCAGUCGAGGCACUUAAAUAUGUGAAACUUAAAAAUACCAAAUCAACAUAAAUCCAUAGGUGAGUAACAAAACUGCACACUAGUUAAUUACAUAAAGGAGACGUAUUUCAUAUUAGUAAUAUAGAAAUGACAAAAUACUAUCUCACAAAGAUUUAUAUAAUACAGUUAAUGGUGAAGUCCCAAUCCAGAAAGCUAGUUCCUCUGAAUUGUAACAUUGCACUAAAUAUAGGCUAUAUACAAUCUAUAUACAAACACCAUGGAGAGCUCAGCAUAUUGUCAAGAUUUAAGGUAAUCGUAAAUUGAAAAAGACUUGGUACAACACCAACCACUCUUAAAUAGAUAUAUACAAACACCAUGGAGAGCUCAGCAUAUUGUCAAGAUUUAAGGUAAUCGUAAAUUGAAAAAGACUUGGUACAACACCAACCACUCUUAAAUAGAUACAAAUAACUCAAAUAGAGAACUAGGGCUACCGACAGGCCGUCCCUCGAGCUGCCCGAGUCUGGCCCAAAUCUUUUGGGCAAGGCUCGGGCCCAAAACCUUUUUCAGAUUAGGCCGGCCCCACCUGAUUCCUCUGAUAAGGCCUAAGCCCGACAGCCCAGCACAGCCCAUCCAACCCAUUGGAACUUAGAUCAUCUUGAUCACAGAAUCAGUCACCAUGAGACCAGGGUGCAAAAUCAACCACGUGAACUAUCCUCCGCAACUUGUUACAAGCUCCAAUGGGGCUUAAUUUGAGCUCCAAGAUAAGCCUGUCAAUUUGUUAAUUUCUCGACCAAAGCUAGCCUCAAAACCGUGCAUGUCUGAAUGUGUACACAUUCUACUGACUUGACAAGAACCAAAGCACGACAAGCAGCGGUUGAGACAUCAUUGCAAAAGUCCAUGUGACCUGUUAAGUCAAUGUGGUUGAUGAGGUAAUCUUUAUAUGCCAAAGCUAUCGAAGAGCUUUUCAUGGUGAUGGCUCUCUUAUAUUCAUGGAGACAGUCCAUGAACCUCAGGUCCAGCUUGUUUUGGGUGCAACAAUCCAUUUACUGAACCAGCAACUAUCUCGUAUCAGAAUCCCCCAUAUUUUUUCCCAAAUAUACUCUCCAGACUUUGAUUAAAUGUAUUUCUUUCCCCCCCUAUCUUUUCUAAUUGCUUUUCUCCUAAUUUUCAGCGCAAUUGAAGCAGGAAAGAAGAGACCAAAAUUAUCUGAGAAGACUUCAAAUCAAAUUAGUGUACAAUAUGGCCUCUCUCUCGAUUUAGUAUUGAUCAACCCAACUUCCUUUUCUUUCUUUGUUCAAUGGUAGCAUCAUCUGAAAAACCAAAAUGCCUGAAAAAUUUCAACCACACCAAUAAACAGUGAGAAAAACCUUACCCUGGCCUAUCAUGAUGGCUGUUUCCUGAAUAAAGGCUAGAUAUCAGCAUCUUUAUCAAUUGUGCUGAUAAUUUGUAGACAAAACCCUGAAUUCUCUCCAUUUCAACAAGUUUUUUUUUUUUAAUGUUCUCCAUUUUGACAACUUUAUCAAGUGAAAACCCUAGAUUUGUGCAAGUUUAAGGAUUCAUGAUCAUGGAUCAAUGGCAAUCAUACCUUUAACGAGGGCCUCUGGUUUUUAGGAUUUUAAAGCAUUAGCUGGUUGCGGCUCCAGAAAUGAAGAAGAGAGGCCUUGACUUUCUUUGGAUCUAGAGAGAGAUGGAGAAAGAGAUCUUGGGUAGUUGGGUCUCCCUGUGUGUCCAUGGAAAUACUUUGGGCUAGAUGGAGAGAGAGUGAGUGAGAGGGAGAAGGGGAGGGUAAGAGAGAGAGAGAGAGAGAGAGAGAGAGAGAGAGAGAGAGAGAGAGAGAGAGAGAGAGAGAGAGAGAGUAGUAGAGUAGAGUAGAGACGUAGAGACGAGUAGAGUAGUAGUACGUACGUACGUACGUACGUACGUACGUACGUACGUACGUAGUACGUANNNNNNNNNNNNNNNNNNNNCCUAUCCCUCGUGUGCCUUGCUCCCACGACUGAGAGAGAGAGAGAGAGAGAGAGAGAGACUGCUAUAGAUGGAUGAACAGGCAGAAAAUCAGCUGAAUCUAGAAAUUGUUCCAAGCAACCAUAUGGGAAGAUGGAUCGAUUCAACAUAUUCAACAGAACAACUAGAGGUUACAAAAGAGGAAAAUGAAGUAAAUGAAAAAGGAGGGUCCUAAAUCACUUCAAGUGUGAACAGUAUAAUCACAACUCAUCUAUAUACUAAACUUUUAAAUCUUUGAACCUAAAUCCUUAGACUCAUUAAGAUUAGGAGGUUUGGAUAUGUGAGAGAGAGAGAGAACAGAGACACAGAAAGAUUAUGUUUUUCAAUAUUUUUUAACUUUUCAUCCCAUCACACACCACUCCAACAAAUGAAAUGAAAUCGAUCCUCUACUUAAAGAGACAUGAAUAUCACAUUUUUCCUCAAAGAACAAGCCACUCCUCAAAACCAUAUCAAUGAACAGAUGGUUACCUUAUUCUCUGAUAAUUCAGUGAGAUAUAAUAGCAAUUUGUUUAACAGAAAUAACUUGAAAAGCAUAUCAGUCAGAAGUGCUUUCUACACCAGCAGGGCCAUAUCAAAUUUGCUUCCAGUAAUCUUGAGAUUAGCGCACCACCAAAGUGUUUUGUUGUUUCAAAACUAUAAUCUUGAGAUUAGCGCACCACCAAAAUAUUUUGUUGUUUCAAAACUACCUUUACCAAAAAACAAAAAAAAAAGGAAAAAAAGUAUACUACCUAAUAGAAACAUAAAAAUAAGUAUAAACUUACGUAGUCUCAGGUGAUUCUAUGUGAAACAAUGAAUAUCUACAUACGUUGGGCUAUCUCAAUUCAGAUUAACAUACAAUUGGGUAUAGCAAAAAUUCACUUCAAAAUUUUAGCUAGAAAUCAGUGAAAAACGGUUGAAACCAACCUGCCGUAAAAAGUUCAGCUCAUAAAUGCUCCCCUCAGUUGAAGGGAGAAGAGCUGGAGUAGGAUCAGGGAACCAUUAUAGUACGAAAGCUUGCAGUUAAAUUACAAAAGAUUUGGAUCCCUAGAGUACCUAGUGAAUGAUCAAACUUAUAUACAUUUUCAAAGAACCAGAGAAUUCCGAUCUACUGAUUAUACAUCUUGUCUAAAAUUCAAGAAAACUGGCAGAAAUCUACAGUCAAAAGCCUCUUGAAGAGCUGUUGCCCUCAGUUGAAAUAAGAAAAAACUGGAGCAGGGCCAUAUGUCAAUUUAUCCCCAAAGAGAGAGAGAGAGAGAGAGAGAGAGAGAGAGAGAGAGAGAGAGAGAGAGAGAGAGAGAGAGAGAGAGAGAGAGUAGUAUUAUUAGUAGGUAGGUACGUUAGUUAAGUUAAGUAGUACGACGACGAGACGUAGUUAGUUAUUAGUUAGUUAUUAGUAUACUAACUANNNNNNNNNNNNNNNNNNNNGAGAGAGAGAGAGAGAGAGAGAGAGAGAGAGAGAGAGAGAGAGAGAGAGAGAGAGAGAGAGAGAGAGAGAGGAAGAGGACAGAUACAAGGUAUUUUAUUAUUGAGGGGCGUUUACAGUUUUAAAAUGCAGCAGACAAGGUCUUUUAUUAUGAUUUAAUGAUACCAUAAAUAUGCCUUUCCCAGGUUGUGUUUAUUCUUGCCAAUUAUGAAAUUAAAAACGACUACAAUGGAAUGCCCCCUAUUUAAGACAAAAUUACAAUAGAGGAUACCCAUUCAGUCUUCUCCAGCAUGUUGAAGGGGGUCCUAUCAAACAUCAUUCAAUAGGGGAAUUGGGCUGCCUCUACACUUCUACCCCUUGGUGAUAGCUGAAGGUGUAAUGGGACGUUAUAGAGAUUUUUUUAUUAAAAAUAGCAAUAAGAGAUUUUUAAGUCCCAGGACAUACUAAAGUUACAUUUUAGUUACUCCAAGGUUUUUAACAAAGCUGUCACUCCAAGGUUUCUAGUAGUGAAAAAAAUCUUUAGGCUCAUCUUCCGCCUUUCUAGUCUAUCUUUGUUAUGUACCCAUGUACAUGUAUUAUUUCUUUAACCCCCCAACUGAAGAUAAUUAUAAAAAAAAAUGGUAUAACAUAUCAAAUACAAAAGAUUAUCAUUUUGCUUUUAUUCUUAACUAAUAAAAAGUUUAUAUAAGGUUGCAACCGUACUUGUAGAAGUAAGAUUGCAGUAAUCUACAUCAUUCAUUUUAUUUGAACAGUGUAGAUUUAGCACUAUCUUAAAAGGCGUAUCACUUUUUGACACUAUCUUAAAAGACGUGUUAAAUCUACACCAUCCAACUAAAAUGAACUAUGUAGAACAUCGCAACCUUACUUCUGCAAGUAAUGCUACAACCUUGUAUAGACCCCACCCCUUAACUAAUUUUUAUGAUUACCAACGCUUUGCAUAUUCAAAUUAUAAGUGGUAUGGUUUAAGCCCUUCCUGUUUUUGAACAUUGCUGCCCCUAGCUUAUGUUCAUGUUCUGUCCAAAUAACCAUAAUUGGAUGUUGAUAAGAAAACUAUUCCACUUCACAAUAUCCUUUACUGCAAUAAUUGAAAGGGAAAAUUUAACAUGUGCCACGACCCACAUAUAAAAAAUAGGAAAAUUUACUAAUAAAUCCUAGUGUAUUUUCGAUAUUUAAAAAUAGUCUCUUAUAUUUCAUACAUAUUUUACAAUCAAGUCUCAUUUUUCAAAAUAAAAUAAUAUGCAUUUAAAUUCUAUCUUUUUCUCUAUGCAUCAGAAUAAGCUCAAAUUUGGUAUGUCCAUAAUUCUCACCAUCAUACAUCUAUACAAAAUAUUUUAAAAAUAGUUUAAGAUAAAUAAAAUUACCAUACUUACCCGAGGGGUAGUUUGGAAAUUUUAUAUAACUUAAAUUAUUUAUAGGAUAUACGAUGGUGAG